This 95-nucleotide ribosomal RNA is filed under the name Ensifer sp. Root74. The record is from RNAcentral. Lineage: Bacteria; Pseudomonadati; Pseudomonadota; Alphaproteobacteria; Hyphomicrobiales; Rhizobiaceae.
GGCUGCACCCGUUCCCAUUCCGAACACGGCCGUGAAACGCCCCAGCGCCGAUGGUACUUCGUCUUAAGACGCGGGAGAGUAGGUCGCUGCCAGGU